This 253-nucleotide ribosomal RNA is filed under the name uncultured bacterium. Its description in RNAcentral is "partial 16S ribosomal RNA". It matches the Rfam family "Bacterial small subunit ribosomal RNA", at positions 524 to 776 of the family's 1533-position model. The record is from RNAcentral.
UACGUAGGGUGCAAGCGUUGUUCGGAAUUACUGGGCGUAAAGCGCGUGUAGGCGGUUCGUAAAGUCGGAUGUGAAAGCCCUGGGCUUAACCCAGGAAGUGCAUUCGAAACUCACGAACUUGAGUCCCGGAGAGGAAGGCGGAAUUCUCGGUGUAGAGGUGAAAUUCGUAGAUAUCGAGAGGAACAUCGGUGGCGAAGGCGGCCUUCUGGACGGUGACUGACGCUGAGACGCGAAAGCGUGGGGAGCAAACAGG